This 315-nucleotide long non-coding RNA is filed under the name Pan troglodytes (chimpanzee). RNAcentral's name for it is "long non-coding RNA NONPTRT005636". The record is from RNAcentral. Lineage: Eukaryota; Metazoa; Chordata; Mammalia; Primates; Hominidae.
UUUCUCUUCUUUCUUCUGCUCUUCAAUUUGCCUGCAGCACUCUUCCUAUUGCUAACCCAGUUUUGCUCAUGCUUUGAGGUUCUUCCCAGGCUGAAGAUAAGGGUGUGUAGGAAGAUGGGGACCAGAAAAAAGGAGGGAAAACAUCUUUAAUAGAAGGAAGUAACUGGAGGACCUGAAGAAAGCCGUUUUAAUUUUUUAAGAAAGUUGAGGUUUAAAAGUCAGAGGGCAGAAAAAAACCCCACAAACUGUAUAAAAAAGAAAGAGGGGGUGGGGUAGAGCUAAUUCAAUUAAUAGCUUGCAAUAAAGAGAAGAGAA